GAUGAACGCUGGCGGCGUGCCUAAUACAUGCAAGUCGAGCGAACAGACGAGGAGCUUGCUCCUCUGACGUUAGCGGCGGACGGGUGAGUAACACGUGGAUAACCUACCUAUAAGACUGUGAUAACUUCGGGAAACCGGAGCUAAUACCGGAUAAUAUAUUGAACCGCAUGGUUCAAUAGUGAAAGACGGUUUUGCUGUCACUUAUAGAUGGAUCCGCGCCGCAUUAGAUAGUUGGUAAGGUAACGGCUUACCAAGGCAACGAUGCGUAGCCGACCUGAGAGGGUGAUCGGCGCCACUGGAACUGAGCCACGGUCCAGACUCCUACGGGAGGCAGCAGUAGGGAAUCUUCCGCAAUGGGCGAAAGCAUGACGGAGCAACGCCGCGUGAGUGAUGAAGGUCCUCGGAUCGUAAAACUCUGUUAUUAGGGAAGAACAAAUGUGUAAGUAACUAUGCACGUCUUGACGGUACCUAAUCAGAAAGCCACGGAUAACUACGUG
This 497-nucleotide ribosomal RNA is filed under the name uncultured bacterium. RNAcentral's name for it is "partial 16S ribosomal RNA". It matches the Rfam family "Bacterial small subunit ribosomal RNA", at positions 28 to 507 of the family's 1533-position model. The record is from RNAcentral.